RNAcentral lists this long non-coding RNA (1426 nucleotides) under Oryzias sinensis (Chinese medaka). Its description in RNAcentral is "lncRNA (ENSOSIG00000002670.1)". Lineage: Eukaryota; Metazoa; Chordata; Actinopteri; Beloniformes; Adrianichthyidae. The record is from RNAcentral.
UCCAAUUCUGCACGGGGUCUCACGGACCCCGCGAGACAGCGCUCGGAGCCUGUGUUUCGUUCCAAUUCUGUACGGGGUCUCACGGACCCCGGGAGACAGCGCUCGGAGCCUGUGUUUCGUUCCAACUCUGUACGGGGUCUCACCGACCCCCGCGAGACAGCGCGCGGGGCCUGUGUUUCGUUCCAAUUCUGUACGGGGUCUCACGGACCACGCGAGACAGCGCGAGGUGCCACUGUUUGGUUCCAAAUCGAGACGGGGUCGCUGGGACCGUGCGUGACAGCGCGAGGUGCCUGUGUUUGGUUCCACUUCUGUUCGGUGUCUAAUGGACCCUGCAAACAGCGCGCGGAGCCUGUGUUUCGUUCCAAUUCUGUUCGGGGUCUGACGAAUCCCGCGAAACAGCGCGCGGAGCCACUGUCUGGUUCCAAUUCUGUAUGGGGUCUCACGGAUCCCCAGAGACAGCGCGUGGAGCCACUGUCUGGUUCCAAUUUGGUUCGGGGUCUUAGGGCCCCGCGAGACAGCGCGCGGAGCCACUGUCUGGUUCCAAUUUUUUUUUGGGGUCCCCACGGCCCCCGGAGACAGCGCGCGGAAGCACUGUCUGGUUCCAAUUUUGUUUGGGGUCUCACGGACGCCCAGAGACAGCGCGCGGAGCCACUGUCGGGUUCCAAUUCUGUUCGGGGUCUCACGGACCCUCAGAGACAGCGCGGGGAGCCACUGUCUGGUUCCAAUUCUGUUUGGGGUCUCACGGACCCCCAGAGACAGCGCGCGGAGCCACUGUCUGGUUCCAAUUUUUUUUGGGGUCUCACGGACGCCCAGAGACAGCGCGCGGAGCCACUGUCUGGUUCCAAUUCGGUUCGGGGUCUCACGGACCCCCGGAGGCAGCGCGGGGAGCCACUGUCUGGUUCCAAUUCGGUUCGGGGUCUCACGUACGCCCAGAGACAGCGCGCAGAGCCACUGUCUGGUUCAAAUUCUGUUCGGGGUCUCACGGACCCUGCGAGACAGCGGGCGGAGCCACUGUCUGGUUCUAAUUCUUUUUAGGGGUCUCACGAACCCCCAGAGACAGCGCGCGGAGCCACUGUCUGGUUCCAAUUCUGUUCAGGGUCUCACGGACGCCCAGAGACAGCGCACGGAGCCACUGACUGGUUCCAAUUCUGUUCGGGGUCUCACGGACCCCCAGAGACAGCGCGCGGAGACAGCUGGCGGAACUAUUUAUUCUUUUAUUUUAUUUUUUCCCUCCUUAGUAUACAUUUUUACCAGAUUUUCACUGAGACUCUUUUCGUGAGAGAUGAGGGUCGGAUGCUUCUUUUCAUGGUAGGAGUCUCAGAACUCAGGUUAGUGUCCCUAAACUUCGGUCGGAGCUCUUUGUAAGCCCCCUUGUAACUAACUCAACAACUAUACAUAUUUUUUUCUUUCUUUUUCCUUUAUUUCU